GACGAGCCACACAAACGUUAUUCGGAAUUACUGGGCUUAAAGGGUGCGUAGGCUGCGCGGAAAGUUGGGUGUGAAAUCCCUCGGCUCAACCGAGGAACUGCGCCCAAAACUACCGUGCUCGAGGAAGAUAGAGGUAAGCGGAACUUACGGUGGAGCGGUGAAAUGCGUUGAUAUCGUAAGGAACACCUGUGGCGAAAGCGGCUUACUGGGUCUUUUCUGACGCUGAUGCACGAAAGCUAGGGGAGCAAACAGG
This 253-nucleotide ribosomal RNA is filed under the name uncultured bacterium. RNAcentral's name for it is "partial 16S ribosomal RNA". It matches the Rfam family "Bacterial small subunit ribosomal RNA", at positions 524 to 776 of the family's 1533-position model. The record is from RNAcentral.